This is a non-coding RNA of Oryzias latipes (Japanese medaka), 2136 nucleotides long. Lineage: Eukaryota; Metazoa; Chordata; Actinopteri; Beloniformes; Adrianichthyidae. The record is from RefSeq and is a predicted model, not a curated record.
UGUUGAAUCUUCUUUUAAUCUUUUCCUCUUUCCUUUUAAAGUGUUAAAUAUCAUCCUGGAAUGAUUUUAAACUUUUCACCACAGUCCUCUCUUUAUGUCUGCAGACCUUCUGGUUCUGGUCUCAUCCUGAUCUGGUUCUGGUCUGAUCCAGACCUGGUUCUGGUCUGGUUCUGGUCUGGUCCAGGUUUGGUUCUGGUCUGAUCCAGUGUUCCUCCUGACUGCCUAACAUGUGAUCUGAAGUCACAUGCUUGCUGACUCUCAUCCGGGUUCUGGUUGAUCGGACUCCUUGUGGACCGCGUAGGACCAAGCAGAGGUUCUGUGUGUUACUUGAUCCAAAGCUGCAUCCUUGUGGUUCUGGUCCUCUGGUCAAAGGAACCGGUCCUGACAGUCAAAUCUUGACAGGUCCCCCCCCUCACAAGCUCAAACUAAAGUGAUGCCCCCCCCCAUGUGAAAGUCCCAAAAGUGAGCCGGUUGCAGACAUUUUCCUGAGAACAAACGCCUCCUGGUCUCUGGCUGUGUGGUUGCCAUGACAGCGGCGCAUGCGGCUAAAAUAAGGUCUGCUCUUCACACACAAGACGUCUCCAUCUUCCUCCUGAGAGGCGCAGAUUCGUGUCCCCACAACAGCCGUCCUGCACCUCGGCGCUCUGCUCGCUCUGACCUCCACGUCUCCCCUCUGCUCCUGCAGGAGCGCCUCAAUCACCAGCUAAGAGAGGAGAGGAGGUGGGAGGAGGAGGGGGAGACAAGGAGGGGGACGGUUUCUGUGAAACUGAGAAGAAAGUGGGCCACUCUGGCUUAUUCAUUGAAAUCACAAACUCCGCUCCCACCAUGAAGGAGAAAGGACAGGAGGCAGGUGAGGCGGCGCUCCCACUCACCUGGAGCAGCUCCGGGUCAGAGGUGGAGAUCAGAACAGGUGUGGAGCCCGUUAAGCAACGGUUAUGAAAGGAACUUCACCCAAAUCUUUUGUUGGGAGAUUUCACUGGAAACAUGUUGAUGCAACAGAUGAAGGAGCAAUCCACUAGAUUGUACAGGUGAAGGUACCGUCAUGAUUUCAAGGUUUUUGGAUUCCUCAGCGGCCUGACGGUUCUCCAGAACAUCCCACAAGACCGUCCAGAGCUGAUGGACGUUCUGCAGCUACAGGUUGAGGCUGGUGCCCCCUGCUGGCACAGACUGGAUACUGUCGUGACUGUAAGACUGCGUUUAUACUGAAACGUUCAUGAAAGUCAGCGGGCAGCUGUAAUUCAGAAGGUCACAGGUUUGAUUCCCGCUUUGGCUGGCUUUGUGUUGAAGUGCCCUUGGGCCAGACGUUAACCCACAUUGCCCCUGGUGGUCAGUGUGUGAACAGACGGAAUUUGUGCCUGUUGAGAGCUGUGUCCCAAUUACUGUUUACAAGUACAUCUAUUAGUACAUAGCAGUUUCCUUUAGUAUGUAAAAGUAUCUAUAUUAGUAUGGAAAACAAUAUAAGUAAAAGAAAUCAAAAGUAUAUAUGUUAGUAUAUGCAACAUAGAUUAAAAUAUAAAUAUUCUAUGAAAUAUCUGAACACAUUUUUAUUCAUUCAUGAAUUUCAUUCAUUAGUAUAUGACGGUGUGUAUAAAAGUAUUGGCUGGGAUUUAGUGAGCACCUAAAGCGACCUGAGGAUCUGCUGCUCAGGAUUCAGAGAAAGUUGAUCAGAAAUGUGCUCGUCAAUCAGAAGAUCCACUCUGGAAAUAUACUUUAUGAUUUAGAGAUUCAGGAAGGUCAAACCAUUUUCAAUCAAAUUUAAAAUGAUGAAACUUCCAGUAAUAUGAGGACUACUUAAAGUUACUUGAGUAAACGUGGUUUAGGAGAAUCUUUAGAAACUCAGCAGCUCAUAAAGACCGUUAAAGUUUUUUUCUGCAGUUACAGUUUAGCUGAACUUUCAUUAAAUCUGUCUGGGAUCAGACUAAUUCCUGGUGAAACCACCAAAACCUUCAGAGUAUCGUCUGAGAAAACGACGCAGAGAGUUCAGAGUUCAGAACUUUAUUGUUCCACGAGGAGUUCAGUGGUCCGAGUGUAACAUGGUUCAGAGCGGGGGGUGUAAACGCUGUUUGGGAAUGUAACAUGAAGCAGAGAUCCGGGUCAAGUUCUGAGGCAGAACAGAAGAUAGGCCGAGCCCAGACG